GUGCUCGCUGCGGCAGCACAUAUACUAAAAUCGGAAUGAUACAGAGAAGAUGAGCAUGGCCCCUACGCCAGGAGGCUGAGGGGAAAACAAUAUGAAAAGAUGCAGAUUCAU
This is a small nuclear RNA of Hippopotamus amphibius kiboko, 111 nucleotides long. The record is from RefSeq and is a predicted model, not a curated record. NCBI's taxonomy places the organism in Eukaryota, Metazoa, Chordata, Mammalia, Artiodactyla, Hippopotamidae.